CGAUAAUUAUUCCAAGAAAAAGCGCCUCGUCGUGACGAAAAUCCCGAACAAUUUCAACGUCGUCGGUGUAAUCGGCGGCGGUUUUUUUUUUUAUUUGUUUUUUUUUUCUCUACGUUUUCGGCCGGGAAAAAAACGCGUUCCCGGAUCGGAUAUUUUAUUUUCCGUAAAAACAUGUUCGUCGCACCGGCGCGCGUGCAUAUCAUUAUAAU
Cinara cedri is the source of this 209-nucleotide non-coding RNA. NCBI's taxonomy places the organism in Eukaryota, Metazoa, Arthropoda, Insecta, Hemiptera, Aphididae. The record is from the annotation of a GenBank genome assembly.